UACGGAGGGUGCGAGCGUUAAUCGGAAUUACUGGGCGUAAAGGGCGCGUAGGCGGUGGGUUACGUCUGCCGUGGAAUCCCCGGGCUCAACCUGGGAAUGGCGGUGGAAACGGGCUGACUGGAGUAUGGGGGAGGGUGAUGGAAUUCCAGGUGUAGAGGUGAAAUGCGUAGAGAUCUGGAGGAACACCAGUGGCGAAGGCGGGCUGCUGGCCCAAUACUGACGCUGAGGCGCGAAAGCGUGGGGAGCAAACAGG
This 253-nucleotide ribosomal RNA is filed under the name uncultured bacterium. RNAcentral describes it as "partial 16S ribosomal RNA". It matches the Rfam family "Bacterial small subunit ribosomal RNA", at positions 524 to 776 of the family's 1533-position model. The record is from RNAcentral.